CCUACGGGUGGCAGCAGUGAGGAAUAUUGGACAAUGGGCGAGAGCCUGAACCAGCCAAGUCGCGUGAAGGAUGACGGCCCUACGGGUGAUAAACAUCUUUUGUCAGGGAGCAAUUGGGUCCACGCGUGGGCUUAGCGAGAGUACCUGAAGGAAAAGCAUCGGCUAACUCCGUGCCAGCAGCCGCGGUAAUACGGAGGAUGCGAGCGUUAGCCGGAUUUAUUGGGUUUAAAGGGUGCGUAGGCGGAAUAUCAAGUCAGCGGGAAAAAUUCGGGGCUCAACCCCGUCGUGCCGUUGAAACUGAUGUUCUUGAGUGGGCGAGAGGUAUGCGGAAUGCGUGGUGUAGCGGUGAAAUGCAUAGAUAUCACGCAGAACUCCGAUUGCGAAGGCAGCAUCCCGGCGCCCAACUGACGCUGAAGCACGAAAGCGUGGGUAUCGAACAGGAUUAGAUACCCUAGUAGUC
This 460-nucleotide ribosomal RNA is filed under the name uncultured bacterium. Its description in RNAcentral is "partial 16S ribosomal RNA". It matches the Rfam family "Bacterial small subunit ribosomal RNA", at positions 338 to 795 of the family's 1533-position model. The record is from RNAcentral.